CCUACGGGAGGCAGCAGUGAGGGAUAUUGGUCAAUGGGGGAAACCCUGAACCAGCAACGCCGCGUGAGGGAAGACGGUUUUCGGAUUGUAAACCUCUGUCCUCUGUGAAGAUGAUGACGGUAGCAGAGGAGGAAGCUCCGGCUAACUACGUGCCAGCAGCCGCGGUAAUACGUAGGGAGCAAGCGUUGUCCGGAUUUACUGGGUGUAAAGGGAGCGCAGGCGGCCUGCCAAGUCUGGUGUGAAAACCCGGGGCCCAACCCCGGGCCUGCAUUGGAAACUGGCGGGCUGGAGUGUCGGAGGGGCAGGCGGAAUUCCUAGUGUAGCGGUGAAAUGCGUAGAUAUUAGGAGGAACACCGGUGGCGAAGGCGGCCUGCUGGACGAUGACUGACGCUGAGGCUCGAAAGCGUGGGGAGCAAACAGGAUUAGAUACCCCUGUAGUC
Molecule: ribosomal RNA, 440 nt
Filed under: uncultured bacterium
Lineage: Bacteria
Description: partial 16S ribosomal RNA
Rfam family: Bacterial small subunit ribosomal RNA
Source: RNAcentral